GUGGGGAAUCUUGCGCAAUGGGCGAAAGCCUGACGCAGCCAUGCCGCGUGAAUGAUGAAGGUCUUAGGAUUGUAAAAUUCUUUCACCGGGGACGAUAAUGACGGUACCCGGAGAAGAAGCCCCGGCUAACUUCGUGCCAGCAGCCGCGGUAAUACGAAGGGGGCUAGCGUUGCUCGGAAUUACUGGGCGUAAAGGGCGCGUAGGCGGAUCGUUCAGUCAGGGGUGAAAUCCCAGAGCUCAACUCUGGAACUGCCCUUGAUACUGGCGAUCUUGAGUGUGAGAGAGGUAUGUGGAACUCCGAGUGUAGAGGUGAAAUUCGUAGAUAUUCGGAAGAACACCAGUGGCGAAGGCGACAUACUGGCUCAUUACUGACGCUGAGGCGCGAAAGCGUGGGGAGCAAACAGGAUUAGAAACCCUGGUAGUCC
Molecule: ribosomal RNA, 425 nt
Filed under: uncultured bacterium
Lineage: Bacteria
Description: partial 16S ribosomal RNA
Rfam family: Bacterial small subunit ribosomal RNA
Source: RNAcentral